AUUGAACGCUGGCGGCAGGCCUAACACAUGCAAGUCGAACGGUAACAGGAAGCAGCUUGCUGCUUUGCUGACGAGUGGCGGACGGGUGAGUAAUGUCUGGGAAACUGCCUGAUGGAGGGGGAUAACUACUGGAAACGGUAGCUAAUACCGCAUAACGUCGCAAGACCAAAGAGGGGGACCUUAGGGCCUCUUGCCAUCGGAUGUGCCCAGAUGGGAUUAGCUAGUAGGUGGGGUAACGGCCCACCCAGGCGACGAUCCCUAGCUGGUCUGAGAGGAUGACCAGCCACACUGGAACUGAGACACGGUCCAGACUCCUACGGGAGGCAGCAGUGGGGAAUAUUGCACAAUGGGCGCAAGCCUGAUGCAGCCAUGCCGCGUGUAUGAAGAAGGCCUUCGGGUUGUAAAGUACUUUCAGCGGGGAGGAAGGGAGUAAAGUUAAUACCUUUGCUCAUUGACGUUACCCGCAGAAGAAGCACCGGCUAACUCCGUG
Molecule: ribosomal RNA, 490 nt
Filed under: uncultured bacterium
Lineage: Bacteria
Description: partial 16S ribosomal RNA
Rfam family: Bacterial small subunit ribosomal RNA
Source: RNAcentral